GCGCUUGCUUCAGCAGCACAUAUCCUAAAAUUGGAACUAUACAGAGAAGAUUAGCAUGGCCCCUGUACAAGGAUGACAUGCAAAUUCGUGAAGCAUUCCAUAUUUAA
Kogia breviceps (pygmy sperm whale) is the source of this 107-nucleotide small nuclear RNA. Lineage: Eukaryota; Metazoa; Chordata; Mammalia; Artiodactyla; Physeteridae. The record is from RefSeq and is a predicted model, not a curated record.